ACCCUUCAGACUCCUUGUCCCUCAGAUCUAAAUAUUGGUCUGAGUGGCUAAAAAAGAAGGAAAAGUAAAACUGACAUGGACUUGGAAUAUUUCAUAACUUACAAGUUCAUUUCAAACAUAG
RNAcentral lists this small nucleolar RNA (121 nucleotides) under Echinops telfairi (small Madagascar hedgehog). Its description in RNAcentral is "Small nucleolar RNA SNORA61 (ENSETEG00000024249.1)". The record is from RNAcentral. Lineage: Eukaryota; Metazoa; Chordata; Mammalia; Afrosoricida; Tenrecidae.